RNAcentral lists this ribosomal RNA (485 nucleotides) under uncultured bacterium. Its description in RNAcentral is "partial 16S ribosomal RNA". It matches the Rfam family "Bacterial small subunit ribosomal RNA", at positions 28 to 523 of the family's 1533-position model. The record is from RNAcentral.
GAUGAACGCUGGCGGCGUGCCUAAUACAUGCAAGUCGAGCGAAUGGAUUAAGAGCUUGCUCCGGUGGAUUAGUGGCGAACGGGUGAGUAACACGUGAGUAACCUGCCCUUGACUCUGGGAUAACUGCGGGAAGCUGUAGCUAAUACCGGAUACGACCCUCGGCGGCAUCGCCAGGGGGUGGAAAGAAUUUCGGUCAAGGAUGGGCUCGCGGCCUAUCAGCUAGUUGGUGAGGUAACGGCUCACCAAGGCGACGACGGGUAGCCGGCCUGAGAGGGUGACCGGCCACACUGGGACUGAGACACGGCCCAGACUCCUACGGGAGGCAGCAGUGGGGAAUAUUGCACAAUGGGCGCAAGCCUGAUGCAGCAACGCCGCGUGAGGGAUGACGGCCUUCGGGUUGUAAACCUCUUUUAGUAGGGAAGAAGCGAAAGUGACGGUACCUGCAGAAAAAGCACCGGCUAACUACAUGCCAGCAGCCGCCGUAA